CCUACGGGUGGCAGCAGUGAGGAAUAUUGGUCAAUGGGCGCGAGCCUGAACCAGCCAAGUAGCGUGAAGGAUGACUGCCCUACGGGUUGUAAACUUCUUUUGUCGGGGAACAAAGGGCGCCACGCGUGGCGUUGUGAGUGUACCCGAAGAAAAAGCAUCGGCUAACUCCGUGCCAGCAGCCGCGGUAAUACGGAGGAUGCGAGCGUUAUCCGGAUUUAUUGGGUUUAAAGGGUGCGUAGGCGGUCCGGAAAGUCAGCGGUAAAAGCCCGGGGCUCAACCCCGGCGAGCCGUUGAAACUGUCGGACUAGAGACGGCGAGAAGUACGCGGAAUGCGCGGUGUAGCGGUGAAAUGCAUAGAUAUCGCGAAGAACUCCGAUUGCGAAGGCAGCUUACUAAACUGCCACUGACAUUGAUGCUCGAAAGUGUGGGUAUCAAACAGGAUUAGAUACCCGAGUAGUC
Molecule: ribosomal RNA, 459 nt
Filed under: uncultured bacterium
Lineage: Bacteria
Description: partial 16S ribosomal RNA
Rfam family: Bacterial small subunit ribosomal RNA
Source: RNAcentral